Molecule: long non-coding RNA, 2132 nt
Organism: Acyrthosiphon pisum (pea aphid)
Lineage: Eukaryota; Metazoa; Arthropoda; Insecta; Hemiptera; Aphididae
Exons: 3
Source: RefSeq, a predicted model, not a curated record
UAUAUACUACACAAGUUUUUAUAUUGUAUGAUAUACCCACCUCUUUUAAGAAUAAUGUUUUAUGACUUUAUUAUAUCGUACAUAUUUGUCAGUGGUGGGUCUGGCGAGGGGGCUGAACUGUUCACUGUGAGGGGGGGGGGGGCUAGAGCCCAACCUUGUCACCCCUUGGCAACGUGCCUAAAAAUAAUCCCGUGUGUACAAUACAUAUUAUAUAUAAAUAAAUACAUAUUAUAGGUAUUAUAUAUAGAUAGAAGAUAAGUACAACUCGUUUUAUGACCGAUAAAACCGCCUUAUACAUGUAAGUGGUACUCGAAAAAAUAAGUACAACAAUCUAUUACUACGUAAACAAGAUAACAUAAUGUAGUAAAUAUCAAGGUGAGUAUAUAUGAAAACAAAUUAAAUGUGUACUUAACAUUUUGGUAUAUUUUUUCUUCAGUCUAGCAAGACGGCAAUUUAUUAGACACCACUCGCAGUCACUGCACGAGGCACAAACGCGAUACACUACACUGUCAUAUAAUAUAUAGUCGGUACUAUAGCCCGUGUGCACUGUGCAUCAAGAUUCCACAUCAGAUAGGUAUUAUAUAUAGAUAGAAGAUAAGUACAACUCGUUUUAUGACCGAUAAAACCACCUUAUAUACGUAAGUGGUACUCGAAAAAAUAAGUACAACAAUCUAUUACUUCGUAAACAAGAUAACAUAAUGUGGUAAAUAUCAAGGUGAGUAUAUAUGAAAACAAAUUAAAUGUGUACUUAACAUUUUGGUAUAAUUUUUCUUCAGUCUAGCAAGACGGCAAUUUAUUAGACAACCUCUCGCAGUCACUCCACGAGGCAUAAACGCGAUACACUACACUGUAAUAAUAUAGUCGGUACUAUAGCCCGAGUGCACUGUGCAUCAAGAUUCGACAUCAGUUAGAUUUUUUCUUCAGUCUAGUAAUAUAGCAAGUAGAGAUCAUCCAGUAUCACUUCCCAAGGUCCAGACUCCACAUUGCCACAGUCGUCAUUCAGUACUAUACCUAUUACCUAUAUAAUAAUAUUAUAGUCCAUGUGAACUGUGCAUCGAAAUUCGACAUCAGUAAGAUUUAGGAAUUUUAUAAUUUACUAGUUACUGUACUGAUUUGAAUUCAACCACAAUAAAUAUAAAAUAGGGUAAAAAAAUACAUAUUCUAAAAAUUGAUUAAAUUCAAUAAUAUUUGCUAUUUGCUUAGACGCCCAUGGUCGAUCAUACAUUAUGUACCUAUACCGGGGUCGGGCGUCUAUAUAGACACAUCGUAAUAUGUUAAUAACAAUAAAAAUAUAGGUACUUACUUUUGAAAAAAUAAAAUGAAUGAAAAAUGAAAGCGCCAAGUUUGUAUUUUAAAUCUAAUGUACAAUCAAUAUCCUGAUCUCCUCUCCGACGUAAGUCUUCGAAUCCCUUCCUUCUUCUCCAGAAAGCACUCCCUCUUUUCAAGUACCAACCCACAACACAUCCUAUGGACACAAUCAUCCCUUACAUAUAAUGCUACGUAAGCUAAAUAAUGCUAAUUUUGAUUUUAAUAUUUAAUAAAUGAAUUAGUAAUAAAUGUACUGUGCUAUACUAUAUACACUAUGUUACUAUAUUAUGUUUAUAUUGAGUUUUUUUUUCUAUAUUAUGUUUGGUUUUACUGUGUGUUAUAAACAUUUACUACAUAUUAAUUUUAAAUGUAAUCAUAAAAGUGCCGAUUGGCGUUUAUCUAUAAAACAAAUAAAUAAAUAAAUAUAUUGGAAUUUUUUUUAGUCUCAUAUGGUAAUACAUUUUUAUUGUGUCACUGAAGAUAAGGUGCUGUGGGCACUGUAGUUAUAAACAUAACUAUACCAAAAAAGUCAUAUUAUAAAGAAAAAUAAAUUACACAUAUACAUAAACUAAAUAAUUGAAUCUGGUAUAGGUACCUGUAAUAUUAUUGUCUGGUAACAAUUUUAACAUGGUAGGUAUGUAAAAGUUUUAGAGUUAAACAUUUAAAAGCUGAAAAUACACGCCUGAUAUAAGCAUACAAUCUAGAAUCUAGGAACAUUGAAUAUCAUUAUGAAUAUUAUUCAUUUCCACAAUUUUUUAUAUUUAUAAUAAAUUAGUAAUUGCCAUGGUUGGGGUCUUAUAGCAUUUGCAUAUUUCUUAUGAGAA